AAAGUUCCUAAGAAAUUUUUGACAAAAAAAAAAAAAAGACCUAAGUUGUGAUAAGAAUAUUUUCAAAUUUACAUUUUAGAUAGAUAAACAUCUAGAAAGAUAUAGCCUAGAAUUAGUUAUGUUUCUAUGGAUUCUAAUUAAAAUCAAGCCUGAACAGCAAGUAUUUAAUUGGUAGAUCACAGAGACACCACCGUCAUCUUUAGAUAUCUUUUCAAAUUCAAAAGCAAAAUACAUUCUCAUCCAACUAGACAUCCAUGUCACUGUCUUGAACUGUAGAACAACCUAAAGGUUAAAGGCAAAAAUCUUGAAAGGAGUCAUGUUGCUAGGAAAGGAUAAGAAAAUAACUGCUAGAAAUCUAGAUCUACCGGUAUUUAAAAAAUUACCAGCCCUAAUGAUACAGGUAAGUCAUUUGAUGGUACCCAUAUUAUAAUACCGGUAAUAAUAAUAAUAGAAAAUUUUAUAAGAGAGGCACUUUUUACAAUUUGUAAUUAUAAGAUAUACACUGUGUGCUGAAAGGAACAACUUAACAUGUUCUUAACCCAAUAAAUAAAGCAAUUGCUUGAAAAGAUGAGCUGUUAAGGUUCAUCUUGAACAGAACUGUACAUUAACUUUGCAGGUUAAAUGUUCCAAAAAAUAGGUCAAUCAUAUACCAUACUAAAAAGAAAUUUUUAAAUCCGAAAAAUUCACAAACCUACCAAAAUGAAAUAAUUUUAGUUUUCAAAAAUUGAAAUUAUUGCUGGUGUCACAAUAAGCAAGACAUACCAGUUUUAAUUUCUAUUAUACUGGUACCCGAGUUUGCUUAAUCCAACGAAGCUGCAUGUCUGUCAGGACAUAUGUACUUUAGGAAUAGGCUCAACAUCCAGUUGUUUUUAAUGCUUGAAAAAAAGGGCUUAUGUAAGAGACAAAUUGACAAAGUUUAUUAGUUAAGACCUAAGCAUGUAGAUAUUUAGAUUUAGGUGUAUUGCAAUUAGAUGUGGACAAAUAAAAUUUAGCUUGUUAAUCUAAUUGAAGUAAUUGUAUUAUAAUAUAUUUUUAAUGCAUGCUAAGUAACCAGCUAAAUUUUUAUCGAAUGACCUUAAUUCCAUUCGAGAUUUUUUAUUGGCAAAUGCAUGUGCAAACUGUUGAAGGAUGUUUGUAAAGCUUGUCAAACUUUUUCUAGAUCUUUAGAUCUAGCUAUGAAGAAUACUUUCAACCUGUGAAUAUAAAUACAAGAAUGACAAUAGAUCUAGAUUCUAUAAACAAAUAUACUUGAACACACUUUUGUUUUUGUUUUUAUUUUAUUAUGUAUAAAAUUCACCUACAGACAUCACAUAUUUACAAAUAUGAAUCCAGUUACUUUUAUAUAUCCAUUAUAAAUAAAGCUAGCUAGAGAUAAUAGUGAAGAUAAUUUUUUUUUUCUAAUGAAGUAGAAGAGAUCAAUCAGAAUCUAGAGUAAAGCGUGGUUCUCAAACAAAUUAACUCCUCUCCGUAAUUAAUUUCCAUGUUCCGACGGAAUUAUUUAUUUUGUCCAUUUGAAGUUCACUCCCUAAUUAUGAUUGAACUUCAAUAACUUAUCAUAAAAUGUCU
Biomphalaria pfeifferi is the source of this 1566-nucleotide non-coding RNA. The record is from the annotation of a GenBank genome assembly. Lineage: Eukaryota; Metazoa; Mollusca; Gastropoda; Planorbidae.